This 1483-nucleotide ribosomal RNA is filed under the name uncultured prokaryote. RNAcentral's name for it is "partial 16S ribosomal RNA". It matches the Rfam family "Bacterial small subunit ribosomal RNA". The record is from RNAcentral.
UGGUUUGAUCCUGGCUCAGGAUGAACGCUAGCGGGAGGCUUAACACAUGCAAGUCGAGGGGUAACAUGAUGUAGCAAUACGUUGAUGACGACCGGCGCACGGGUGAGUAACGCGUAUGAACCUGCCCUGUACUGGGGGAUAGCCCGGAGAAAUUCGGAUUAAUACCCCAUAAUUAUAUUUGGAGGCAUCUUCAGAUAUUUAAAGCUUCGGCGGUACGGGAUGAGCAUGCGUGACAUUAGCUAGAUGGUAAGGUAACGGCUUACCAUGGCUACGAUGUCUAGGGGGUCUGAGAGGAUGGUCCCCCACACUGGUACUGAGACACGGACCAGACUCCUACGGGAGGCAGCAGAGAGGAAUAUUGGGCAAUGGACGCAAGCUGAACCAGCCAUCCCGCGUGAAGGAAGAAGGCGCUAUGGUCGUAAACUUCUUUUCCAGGGGAAGAAAACCCGCUACGUGUAUCUGUCUGAAGGUACCGUAAGAAUAAGCAUCGGCUAACUCCGUGCCAGCAGCCGCGGUAAUACGGAGGAUGCAGGCGUUAUCCGGAUUUAUUGGGUUUAAAGGGUGCGUAGGCGGGUUAAUAAGUCAGUGGUGAAAUCCUACAGCUUAACUGUAGAACUGCCAUUGAUACUGGAAGUCUUGAGUGUGGUUGAGGUAGGCGGAAUGUGUAGUGUAGCGGUGAAAUGCUUAGAUAUUACACAGAACACCGAUUGCGAAGGCAGCUUACUAUGCCAAUAUUGACGCUGAGGCACGAAAGCGUGGGGAGCGACAGGAUUAGAUACCCUGGUAGUCCACGCCGUAAACGAUGAUCACUCGUUGUUGGCAAUACACCGUCAGCGACUGAGCGAAAGCAUUAAGUGAUCCACCUGGGGAGUACGGUCGCAAGAUUGAAACUCAAAGGAAUUGACGGGGGCCCGCACAAGCGGAGGAACAUGUGGUUUAAUUCGAUGAUACGCGAGGAACCUUACCUGGGCUUAAAUGUAGAGUGCAUAAACGGGAAACUGUUUUUCCUUCGGGACUAUUUACAAGGUGCUGCAUGGUUGUCGUCAGCUCGUGCCGUGAGGUGUCGGGUUAAGUCCCAUAACGAGCGCAACCCCUAUCGUUAGUUGCUAGCAGGUCAAGCUGAGGACUCUAACGAGACUGCCGGUGUAAACCGAGAGGAAGGUGGGGAUGACGUCAAAUCAGCACGGCCCUUACGUCCAGGGCUACACACGUGUUACAAUGGCCGAUACAGAGGGCAGCUACCUGGUGACAGGAUGCGAAUCUCGAAAGUCGGUCUCAGUUCGGAUCGGAGUCUGCAACUCGACUCCGUGAAGGUGGAUUCGCUAGUAAUCGCGUAUCAGCAAUGACGCGGUGAAUACGUUCCCGGGCCUUGUACACACCGCCCGUCAAGCCAUGGAAGCUGGGGGUACCUGAAGUUUCGUAACCGAAGGGAGCGGCCUAGGGUAAAACUAGUAACUGGGGCUAAGUCGUAACAAGGUAGCCG